RNAcentral lists this ribosomal RNA (793 nucleotides) under uncultured Planctomycetota bacterium. RNAcentral's name for it is "bacterial SSU rRNA". It matches the Rfam family "Bacterial small subunit ribosomal RNA", at positions 68 to 866 of the family's 1533-position model. The record is from RNAcentral. Lineage: Bacteria; Pseudomonadati; Planctomycetota.
UCCCGAGGGUGUAGCAAUACAUCCGAGGGGGAAGUGGCGAAAGGGGCAGUAAGGCGUGGGUAACCUACCCCGGGGACCGGGAUAGCUUCCCUAACGGGAAGGUAAUACCGGGCGAUCUGGUCUUGGGGCCUCCUUGGACCAGGAGAUGAAUUUCGCCUCGGGAGGGGCUCACGUGGUAUUAGCUAGACGGCGAGGUAACGGCUCACCGUGGCCAAGAUGCCUAGCGGGUGUGAGAGCACGACCCGCGCCACUGGCACUGAGACACUGGCCAGACUCCUACGGGAGGCUGCAGUCGAGGAUCUUCGGCAAUGGGCGCAAGCCUGACCGAGCGACGCCGCGUGCGCGAUGAAGGCCUUCGGGUUGUAAAGCGCUGUCGAGGGGGAGGAAGCCGAAAGGUUGACCUAUCCCUGGAGGAAGCACGGGCUAAGUUCGUGCCAGCAGCCGCGGUAAGACGAACCGUGCGAACGUUGUUCGGAAUCACUGGGCUUAAAGGGCGCGUAGGCGGGCCUCCCAGUCCGGGGUGAAAGCUUUCGGCUUAACCGGAAAAGUGCCUUGGAUACUGGAGGUCUGGAGGGAGGUAGGGGCAAUCGGAACUUCCGGUGGAGCGGUGAAAUGCGUUGAUAUCGGAAGGAACGCCGGUGGCGAAAGCGGAUUGCUGGACCUUUUCUGACGCUGGGGCGCGAAAGCCAGGGGAGCGAACGGGAUUAGAUACCCCGGUAGUCCUGGCCCUAAACGAUGGGUACUGGGUAGGGGACUUGACAUGGGUUCCCUGCCGCAGCGAAAGUGGUAAGUA